UACGUAGGGUGCUAGCGUUGUUCGGAAUCAUUGGGCGUAAAGCGCGUGUAGGUGGUUAUCUAAGUCAGAUGUGAAAUCCCUAGGCUCAACCAAGGAAGUGCAUUUGAAACUAGUUAACUAGAAGAUGGUAGAGGAAGGUGGAAUUCCAGGUGUAGAGGUGAAAUUCGUAGAUGUCUGGAGGAAUACCGGUGGCGAAGGCGGCCUUCUGGACCAUCCUUGACACUAAGACGCGAAAGCGUGGGUAGCAAACAGG
RNAcentral lists this ribosomal RNA (253 nucleotides) under uncultured bacterium. Its description in RNAcentral is "partial 16S ribosomal RNA". It matches the Rfam family "Bacterial small subunit ribosomal RNA", at positions 524 to 776 of the family's 1533-position model. The record is from RNAcentral.